CCUACGGGCGACAGCAGUGAGGAAUAUUGGUCAAUGGACGCGACUCUGAACCAGCCAAGUAGCGUGAAGGAUGACUGCCCUAUGGGUUGUAAACUUCUUUUAUGAGGGAAUAAACCGAGGCACGUGUGCAUUAUUGCAUGUACUUUAUGAAUAAGGAUCGGCUAAUUCCGUGCCAGCAGCCGCGGUAAUACGGAGGAUCCGAGCGUUAUCCGGAUUUAUUGGGUUUAAAGGGAGCGUAGAUGGGUUGUUAAGUCAGUUGUGAAAGUUUGCGGCUCAACCGUAAAAUUGCAAUGGAAACUGGCAGUCUUGAGUACAGUUGAGGUAGGCGGAAUUCGUGGUGUAGCGGUGAAAUGCUUAGAUAUCACGAAGAACCCCGAUUGCGAAGGCAGCUUACUAAACUGUGACUGACAUUGAUGCUCGAAAGUGUGGGUAUCAAACAGGAUUAGAUACCCCAGUAGUC
This 460-nucleotide ribosomal RNA is filed under the name uncultured bacterium. RNAcentral's name for it is "partial 16S ribosomal RNA". It matches the Rfam family "Bacterial small subunit ribosomal RNA", at positions 338 to 795 of the family's 1533-position model. The record is from RNAcentral.